AUUGAACGCUGGCGGCAGGCCUAACACAUGCAAGUCGAGCGGAUGAAGGGAGCUUGCUCCUGGAUUCAGCGGCGGACGGGUGAGUAAUGCCUAGGAAUCUGCCUGGUAGUGGGGGAUAACGUCCGGAAACGGGCGCUAAUACGGCAUCCUCCUGGGGGGGGAAGGUGGGGGAUCUUCGGACCUCAGGCAUUAAAUCGAGCCUAGGUCGGAUUAGCUAGUUGGUGGGGUAAAGGCCUACCAAGGCGACGAUCCGUAACUGGUCUGAGAGGAUGAUCAGUCACACUGGAACUGAGACACGGUCCAGACUCCUACGGGAGGCAGCAGUGGGGAAUAUUGGACAAUGGGCGAAAGCCUGAUCCAGCCAUGCCGCGUGUGUGAAGAAGGUCUUCGGAUUGUAAAGCACUUUAAGUUGGGAGGAAGGGCAGUAAGUUAAUACCUUGCUGUUUUGACGUUACCAACAGAAUAAGCACCGGCUAACUUCGUG
RNAcentral lists this ribosomal RNA (484 nucleotides) under uncultured bacterium. Its description in RNAcentral is "partial 16S ribosomal RNA". It matches the Rfam family "Bacterial small subunit ribosomal RNA", at positions 30 to 507 of the family's 1533-position model. The record is from RNAcentral.